UUUAAUCAGGGUUAGGAGCACAUCCAUUCCGUCCACAGGGAAGUAGUUUAAGCAGUGACCGUGUACAGUGCUCCAAUGCAAGUGCCAACCACCAACAGUCUGAUGCGCAUGCUUUGCACGAGAUGCAUGAAAGUUAUCACCCAGAAUGGAUAUACAUACUGGAACAGUUACUGAUGAUCACUUCGUCUACUCGCCGAUCAUCACCUGAUUAAUAACUCGCCUCAUGCAGGAACGAGCAGCUG
Molecule: long non-coding RNA, 242 nt
Filed under: Setaria italica (foxtail millet)
Lineage: Eukaryota; Viridiplantae; Streptophyta; Magnoliopsida; Poales; Poaceae
Description: long non-coding RNA (SITA_LNC003398)
Source: RNAcentral